UACAGAGACUGCGAGCGUUAUUCGGAUUCACUGGGCGUAAAGGGCGCGCAGGCGGCCCUCCAAGUCAGGCGUGAAAGCCCCGGGCUCAACCCGGGAAUAGCGCUUGAGACUGGGGGGCUUGAGUUCGGGAGAGGAGAGUGGAAUUCCCAGUGUAGAGGUGAAAUUCGUAGAUAUUGGGAAGAACACCGGUGGCGAAGGCGGCUCUCUGGACCGACACUGACGCUGAGGCGCGAAAGCGUGGGGAGCAAACAGG
RNAcentral lists this ribosomal RNA (253 nucleotides) under uncultured bacterium. Its description in RNAcentral is "partial 16S ribosomal RNA". It matches the Rfam family "Bacterial small subunit ribosomal RNA", at positions 524 to 776 of the family's 1533-position model. The record is from RNAcentral.